GCUUUUAGCUCAGUGGUCGAGCGUUGGCUUUGGAAGCCACAGGUCGGUGGCUCGAACCCACCCAGGGCA
RNAcentral lists this transfer RNA (69 nucleotides) under Phytophthora infestans T30-4. RNAcentral describes it as "tRNA-Pro for anticodon UGG". It matches the Rfam family "tRNA". Rfam says of the family: Transfer RNA (tRNA) molecules are approximately 80 nucleotides in length. Their secondary structure includes four short double-helical elements and three loops (D, anti-codon, and T loops). The record is from Rfam by way of RNAcentral. Lineage: Eukaryota; Oomycota; Peronosporomycetes; Peronosporales; Peronosporaceae.